CCCUUAGAUGUCCUGGGCUGCACGCGCGCUACACUGAUGUGUCCAGUAAGCACCUAACCUCUUCCGAAAGGAUCGGGUAACCUUUGCAAAGCACAUCGUGAUGGGGAUAGAUUAUUGCAAUUAUUAGUCUUGAACGAGGAAUUCCUAGUAAGCACAAGUCAUCAGCUUGUGUUGAUUACGUCCCUGCCCUUUGUACACACCGCCCGUCGCUCCUACCGAUUGAAUGUUCCGGUGAGCUCUUCGGACUGCGCGGUCUGCAGUUUCUGCGUUCCGUGCGGAAAGUUGCGCAAACCUUAACAUUUAGAGGAAGGAGAAGUCGUAACA
RNAcentral lists this ribosomal RNA (324 nucleotides) under uncultured eukaryote. RNAcentral describes it as "partial 18S ribosomal RNA". It matches the Rfam family "Eukaryotic small subunit ribosomal RNA", at positions 1470 to 1796 of the family's 1831-position model. The record is from RNAcentral.